UACGUAGGUGGCAAGCGUUGUCCGGAUUUACUGGGCGUAAAGGGCGUGCAGGCGGUUUGUUAAGUGCAGGGUGAAAGCUCCCGGCUCAACUGGGAGAGGUCCUUGCAUACUGGCAAACUCGAGGGAGGCAGAGGAAAGUGGAAUUCCCGGUGUAGUGGUGAUAUGCGUAGAUAUCGGGAGGAACACCUGUGGCGAAGGCGACUACCUGGCCCAUUCUUGACGCUGAGGCGCGAAAGCUAGGGGAGCGAACGGG
Molecule: ribosomal RNA, 253 nt
Filed under: uncultured bacterium
Lineage: Bacteria
Description: partial 16S ribosomal RNA
Rfam family: Bacterial small subunit ribosomal RNA
Source: RNAcentral